This 1320-nucleotide ribosomal RNA is filed under the name Sphindus americanus. Its description in RNAcentral is "partial 28S ribosomal RNA". It matches the Rfam family "Eukaryotic large subunit ribosomal RNA", at positions 70 to 1119 of the family's 3401-position model. The record is from RNAcentral. Lineage: Eukaryota; Metazoa; Arthropoda; Insecta; Coleoptera; Sphindidae.
UAGGAUUCCCUUAGUAGCUGCGAGCGAACAGGGAAGAGCCCAGCACCGAAUCCCGCGGCCGACACCGGACGCCGGGAAAUGUGGUGUUAGGGAGGAUCCGUUUAUCCCGAGGUCGCGCGGCGCGUCCAAGUCCUUCUUGAACGGGGCCACAGCCCAUAGAGGGUGCCAGGCCCGUAGUGACCGCUGCCGUCCGCGGGAGGAUCCCUCCUCAGAGUCGGGUUGCUUGAGAGUGCAGCCCUAAGUGGGUGGUAAACUCCAUCUAAGGCUAAAUAUGACCACGAGACCGAUAGCGAACAAGUACCGUGAGGGAAAGUUGAAAAGCACUUUGAAGAGAGAGUUCAAGAGUACGUGAAACCGUUCAGGGGUAAACCUGAGAAACCCGAAAGGUCGAAAGGGGAAAUUCAUCGCGUUUCGGUUAGGGCUGAAGAUGGUCGAGCGACGGAUGGCGUCCGCGUCGUCUGCACCUUCCGUUUUUCGAACCUUAGCCGAACGCGUGCACUUUUCCCCAAGUAGGACGUCGUGAUCUGUUGGGUGCCGGUCUAAGGCCCGCGGUGGAGCCCAUGCGGACGGUUCGCCGUUCCGUGCGGACCCGUGGUGUUCCCGGCCGGCUCGCUCGACGGUAUACAGAUGGCGCGGGGCCGCGAAUUUAAUUCGCGUCUGGCCCGUGGCAAGCGCGCUCGCGUGUCGGCGAUCGGACCUAGUGCCGGUCCUGGCCCCGAGCGACUGUUGGCUGCGGUGUUCUCGGACAGACCCCGUUGAAACGCCGAUCUACGACGCUAUAGCUUUGGGUACUUUCAGGACNNNNNNNNNNNNNNNNNNNNNNNNNNNNAGCAUGUGCGCGAGUCAUUGGGAUAUAACUAAACCUAAAGGCGCAAUGAAAGUGAAGGUUCGUCUUGCGCGAACCGAGGGAGGAUGGGCGGUUCGCCCUUAAAGUGGCCGCCCCGCACUCCCGGGGCGUCUCGUUCUCAUUGCGAGAAGAGGCGCACCAAGAGCGUACACGCUGGGACCCGAAAGAUGGUGAACUAUGCCUGGUCAGGACGAAGUCAGGGGAAACCCUGAUGGAGGUCCGUAGCGAUUCUGACGUGCAAAUCGAUCGUCGGAACUGGGUAUAGGGGCGAAAGACUAAUCGAACCAUCUAGUAGCUGGUUCCCUCCGAAGUUUCCCUCAGGAUAGCUGGCGCUCGUAGCGCACGAGUCUCAUCCGGUAAAGCGAAUGAUUAGAGGCAUUGGGGUCGAAACGACCUCAACCUAUUCUCAAACUUUAAAUGGGUGAGAUCUCCGGCUUGCUCGAACUCAUGAAGCCGCGAGACACGGAUCAGAG